CUUCACCGAGCCCAGCCAGAGCGGGCGGCCCUCCUCGCGCCCCUGGCCGUAGGUGGCGAGCAGGGCCUCCGCCUC
This 75-nucleotide antisense RNA is filed under the name Streptomyces albus subsp. albus DSM 41398. RNAcentral's name for it is "ASpks TB sRNA". It matches the Rfam family "ASpks TB sRNA". Lineage: Bacteria; Bacillati; Actinomycetota; Actinomycetes; Kitasatosporales; Streptomycetaceae. The record is from Rfam by way of RNAcentral.